GACUCAGUGGCCCAGUGGUAAAGCGUUCUCUGCGGAGCCAGAGGGUCCUGGGUUCGAUCCCCUAUGUGGUCA
This 72-nucleotide transfer RNA is filed under the name Schistosoma japonicum. RNAcentral describes it as "tRNA-OTHER". The record is from RNAcentral. Lineage: Eukaryota; Metazoa; Platyhelminthes; Trematoda; Strigeidida; Schistosomatidae.